RNAcentral lists this long non-coding RNA (5374 nucleotides) under Sus scrofa (pig). Its description in RNAcentral is "lncRNA (ENSSSCG00025038984.1)". The record is from RNAcentral. Lineage: Eukaryota; Metazoa; Chordata; Mammalia; Artiodactyla; Suidae.
AAUGAAGAAAGAUGCAAAUAAAUUGUUCCAAAUCAGGCUGCUCGGCCACUGUGCUGUGAGGAAUCCGUAACCCAAGUGUGACCCCUGGAGGAUGGUCCUAGGUCUGCUGCUGUGGCUCACGAGGGGAGGGAAGGGCUCGGCUCAGGGCCGAUCACAAGCCUCGAGCACCCCUGCCCCAUCAGAAUCCCAGUGCCGGAGGAGACCAUGCGCCGCAGAAGUCCACUUCCGUGUUUAAUUUCUCCAAGCUUCAAUAACAUUUUCCCUACACUGGGCCGCUGAAUCAUUACAGAGGGAGCGGUGUGUGUUUUCUCUCCUGGCUCUGCCGCUUUCAGGGCACCCCACCAUUCUGUUAAAGGCUCGGUUAUAUCCUUUUCAUCUGAGUGUUUCAUUCACAGCAGUGAUGUCUGUAGGAAAAGGGGAGAGCUGGGUAGGGGGUGGGGGAGCCAGGCCAUCACCUCCUCACCUGGAGUCCUGUCACUUGUUAUUGAAGCCAGCAAAGAGAAUUCAGUAUGGACCGAAGUCAUUCUCUGACAAGGCGUGAAAGACCAGUUGCUUUCUGUGGGCAGUUUGGGUGAUGCUGGAGAACCUGCUGAGGCAUUUCCCCCCUUUCUUAACCAGCAGAGAUUAAUUGCACUUCUGUUUGCAGCUGUGUGGGGGCCGCGGCUGUGUCUCUAGGCACAGUCCCCACUUUCUUGACGUCCUAUCACUGUCUCUUCUUGGUGCUGAUGUUUACUGCUUUGCGAAAUGCUUUGGAAUUGGCCUGUACAAAAGAAGCUAUAGAAAUGCAAAUCGCUCCCUCCUCCUGCCUCUCCAGUGAAGGCAGGAGGCACGUGCUCUCUUUGCACAAACUGCUGUGCUUUGCUUUUAGGCAAUUUGUUUUUAUAAGGGAAGUGCCUAUGCUAAAAAGUGUUUUGAUUUUUUUUUUUAUUUCAGUCAACUAAAAAGCUUUUUACUGUACCUGCCAACCUCUAAAUCCAAGAAUGUUUCCUUCAUGAAUUAUUUUGAAACAUCUCCUUGAACCAAAACAUUUUAUGUUACCAGAAGUUUUGAAGUUUUAGGUUCUAAAGUGUCUUACGUCUACCAUUAGAGCUGAUAGAUUAGACUAAUUGCUAUAGACAAUAAGCUUUUUUUACAGAGAUAGAUAGAUAGGUAGAUACAGAAAUAUAUAGAGAGAUAAAGAUUCUUUAUUUUGACUAACACUUCCAGUGCUCUGUGCUUCUCAGGGAAUCCCAAAGAAAGGCAAGAUGGAGAGAGAGCUGUUUCCUUAAGGCCUCUAAAAUCAGAAAGACAUGUUAGGUUAAGCCAUACGCUAUAGGUUAAAACUAUCAGCAAUUUCAUGUGGCUCAACCUAAUAGCUAUAACGUGAGGAUGUCAAAAAUGUUGACUGCCAUAUGGAAACUGAAAUACAAGCAUUACAAAGUUUGAAAGGUGGAGAAAGUCACCAAGAAAGACUUCAUGGAUGAAUUGAAACUCGAGUAGGAUUCUGGACAUGGAGAACGAGCUUGGAGUGUGCUUGGGAACAAGCAUAGUUUCCUAUUCUUGCAGAACCCAGAGGAGAUGCUGUAGAUGGGGUGAGAAGGGGGCUGGGAGCUCUAUUUUAUAGUGCUUUGGUUGGUGUGGCAUUGAGGUUUCAUGCAUGGGAAGCCAGAGUAAAACUGGGUUCCCUGGAGAGAAAUGGGAACCUGGAGAGCCCUGUGAUUGUGGGCAGGAUGAGUUUUAUACGUGACAAGAGUUAACACCAGUGGGAGAUGCUGGCAGGCAGUUGAACAUAGGUGUGGCGCUCAGAGCUGGCUGAGAUAAGUAUUGUAGUUACUGAAACAGAUUUAGUUGCCCGGGGCAGAGGAGAGGCACAGCAGUUCCUUAUCUAGUAGGGCAGGAGCCGGUAAAGGGGGCGUCAUUCAUCCACUUGACAUUUCUUAGAGAUAGUUUGGAAAAGGAAAGUACUGGUAAAGAGCAGUGUGUGCUGUGAAAAGAUGGAGGGGGAUGAGGAAGAAAAGAGCCUUUGCUCUUGGUGACAGUGCUGAUGACUCAGGGACCUUCAGGACACCAGGUCAAGGCUGUGGUUGGAGGAAGCCAGAGUGCAGGCGUUCAGCCUGAGUCCUGGGACUGUGUAAUGGGCAGGGCUCGGCCGGUUAGCAAGGGAUGGAGAGACAGAAGGGAGUUCUUGGAGGAACAGCAGGUCCUACACCACGUUGUACUCUUCCUAGCCUUUGACUGUGUGCAUGGCAGACUUUGAUAUAGUUCUGAUCAGUUCUAUAGUUCUAAUCUGAAUUUCCUUCGCUUAACAUUAUAUCCCAGGCAUUUUCCGUGUUGCUGUAUAAUCUUCAUUUCUAGGUGUCUGGAUAUUACUGUCUAAUAAGAGUGUUUAUUUGUAAGCAUUUCAGGAGUAUCUGGUUUUUAGUAUUACAAAUUAAGGCGAAACAAUUUCUCUAAAUGUGUCUUCUAAACUUAGAGGAUACAGCCUCUCUGUUUCAGUUUGCUUAUUUGUAAAAUGGGAAUAAAAAUAAUACCUACCUCACUGGGGUUUGUGAGGACUGCGGUAAUUUAUGCAAAACCCUCCAAACGGAGAGUGGCAUGGAGCUAACUCUACAGAAAUGUGAGUGUUGAUCAGCACCUCACCAGCACGACUGUCUUCAUUCUUGUUAGGCGGUUACUUCAGGGCCUAAGCGAUCACCUUAGAUGGCACAGGACAACUUUCCGUCGUGAAUCAGGAUGAGUAUAUCUGCGAUAAUUUAAACAGUUAAGGCGAUGCUAGUAGGAUGCAUAUUUUAUUGGGACAGUACAAUGUAUGCGUAGGUAAUAUUUACACAGUUAAACUAAAAAGCUCUGUGGAGUUUAUAAAUACAUUUUUGACCUUUAGACAUACAGCUUUUACUUAACCAUAGUAGAAUUUGAAUUUAGCAAGCUUAAAAAGACUUAAAAUUCCUCUAAUAUUAAGAAAAAAUAGACACCUAUGGCUGUACCAUUCAGCAAACACUCGUCAUGAUAUAAUUGCUUUUAAAAUAUAUGUUUAUAAAGUGGAUAUCUGCCACACACUAUAUUUGAAGCAAAUUGGAAAGAGUUCUUUCCUCCUACUUCAUACGCAGUGUUUCCGUGCUUAUUUUUGUUUUCCCUGCACCUAGAAGUCUUCGGCAUAUUCUUCACAGUGAAUUGAUUAUUUUUCUUUGUGAAGACUCUUGUCAACUCUUGCAAUAGAAUAUUCGAGCCCAUUCAAGUCAUGAGUCAUUCUUGCUCCUACCCUCCAGUUCUAACACACUGCGUAUCAAGAAUCCCUACCUAAUUUUUAAUUUAUUAUUCAGAUUUAUACAAGGAAAAUAAAGGUGUAAUGUAGCUGUAUAUAUCAAAAUUGUUGACUUUUUAAUUAGAAUAACUUCAAGUUACAGGGACUUGAGAAUCACAUAAGAUUUUGUUGGAGCAGAAUUCACUGUAUUCACAUGGCCUGUAUUAUUAUUAAUGUUAAUAUCCGUAUAGGUUUAUUAGUCAGUGUAUUAGGGUCUGCCAAAGAAACAGAACCAGUAUUAUUUAUAUGUAAUGAAUAGAUGGGUAGGUAGGCAGGUAGGUAGAUAGGUAGUGAUGAGAUUAGGCCCCCCAGUGAUGGAGGCUGCAGUCAUCAGGUUUAGUGUUGGUCUCAGUCUGAAGACCUGAAAACCAGAGAGGCGAUGGAUGGUAUAGUUCCAAUCUGAACGCUGGUUGGCUCAAGACCCAUAAAGAGCUGUUGUUUCCAAAGGCUACAGAAAUAAAUAGAUAAAUAAAUUAAAGUCUCGAAAAGUAAACAAAACAAAAACAAACAAAAAUCAGUGUUCCAGCCAGAUAGAUGGCUGUUGCGCAGGAGGAAUUCCCUUUGACUUGUAGGAAGAUCAGCCUUUUGGUUCAGGUCUUAAACUGACUGGUUGGGACCCACCCAUGCUGGGGAUAGCCAUGGAUUCAUUCAGUCAGGAUUCCAGUGUUAAUCUCAUCUGAACAAACUGCUCACAGACACACCCAGACUAAUAUUUGGCCAAAGGUCUAGGCGGUCCAUGGCCCAGUCAAGUCGACACAUAAAAUUAACUACCGCAGCCAGGAUUUGAGAAACCUCAUUAUAUUUUAUUAAUAUUAGAGGGAAGCCUAUUCUAUUUUAUUCUCUUUGUAAUAAUGUAUUAUAUACUUAAAGGAGAAAAUAAAAUAUGACUGUUUUACAUAGCAAUUUUCUUUAUAAAAGAAUUCACCCAGAUGGAUGGUCAAAAAUUCCUUUUAAAAUAUUCAACUUUCAAAGUUCCUGUUGUGCUCAGCAGAAAUGAAUCUGAGUAGCAUCCCUGAGGAUGCAGGUUCGAUCCCUGGCCUUGCUCGAUGGGUUAAGGAUCUGGCAUUGCCGUGAGCUGUGGUGUAGGUCCCCGAUGCGGCUCAGAUCUGGCAUUUCUGUGGCUGUGGCAUAGGCUGGCAGCUACAGCUCCAAUUCAUCUCCUAGCCUGGGGACCUCUAUAUGCCGUGGGUGUGGCCCUAAAAAGACAACAUAAUAAUAAUAAUAAUAAUAAAGUAUUCAAUUUUAUGAUGUUUAAAAUGUGUAUACACAUUUCAUGAAAUAGGUCUUUUUUGCAAUAAAUAUUAAAGGAUAUCCAUUUAUUACACUUAUUUUUCUAAGCUUUAUUACAUGACAAGAUCUGAGUUUGGAGGACCAGAGACAUUAGGACUUUAAUAGCCUAGGUUGUAAAUAUUAAAGAAAAAUAAAUGACCCUAAAAAGCCAGAUUAUUUAAUUGGUUAUCUGUGGUNAUAUAUUUCAAAAUUUGUGAAUAGUGAAAACCAGCUUUCAUUGACAAAGUAAACUGUGUAUAGUGACUAACAAAUUCAAGUUUUGGAAAUUCUGUAAGAAUAUUUACCUGUUGGAGUUCCCAUCAUGGCUCAGGAAAAACAAAUCUGACUAGUAUCCAUAAGAAGCUGGUAAAUUGUUUUCAUUUAAGAGUUCUAUAGAAAAGACUAGGCAGUUACACAUUCAACUGCAAAUUUGCUGGUUGUUUUAUUAUGUUGUGAAAUUGACAGAAUAUUAGAAUUCUUUGAUAUUCCUAUACAAUCUUAGAAUACAUGUUUACCACCAUUUAGGACCAUUAUUUAGUUACUCUUUAUAGAUGCUAUACUUUACAGUAUAAGCACGAAACAUGUAAGAGAAGUCGCUGCUGAGAAAAAGAAAAUGAACAUGAACUACUUAAUGUUUCCACUAGCAAAUGCUAAAUAAAAUCCUUGGUGUGCUGAAGAGAAGGUGGAAUGACAAUGGUGGUGUAUACACUUGUUGGAAUUUUCCCACCUGUUUUCAUUAUCUUUAUUUGUUUUUCAUAGUGGUCAUAGAUAAUGUGACCAUUAUAACUUGCCAUACAAAUUGGGAAAGAGAGAGAGAGGGAGAAA